RNAcentral lists this ribosomal RNA (402 nucleotides) under uncultured bacterium. RNAcentral describes it as "partial 16S ribosomal RNA". It matches the Rfam family "Archaeal small subunit ribosomal RNA", at positions 473 to 873 of the family's 1478-position model. The record is from RNAcentral.
ACACCGGCAGCUCAAGUGGUAGCCGCUUUUAUUGGGCCUAAAGCGUCCGUAGCCGGUCUGAUAAGUCUCUGGUGAAAUCCCACAGCUUAACUGUGGGAAUUGCUGGAGAUACUAUCAUGACUCGAGGUCGGGAGAGGCUGGAGGUACUCCCAGGGUAGGGGUGAAAUCCUGUAAUCCUGGGAGGACCACCUGUGGCGAAGGCGUCCAGCUGGAACGAACCUGACGGUGAGGGACGAAAGCCAGGGGCGCGAACCGGAUUAGAUACCCGGGUAGUCCUGGCCGUAAACGAUGUGGACUUGGUGUUGGGAUGGCUUCGAGCUGCCCCAGUGCCGAAGGGAAGCUGUUAAGUCCACCGCCUGGGAAGUACGGCCGCAAGGCUGAAACUUAAAGGAAUUGGCGGGG